This 285-nucleotide long non-coding RNA is filed under the name Phasianus colchicus (ring-necked pheasant). RNAcentral's name for it is "lncRNA (ENSPCLG00000007131.1)". Lineage: Eukaryota; Metazoa; Chordata; Aves; Galliformes; Phasianidae. The record is from RNAcentral.
GGGAGCCGCGCCGUGAGCCGGGCGGGAGCGAGUGGGAGCGGAGCGCACCGUACGGCCCGCUGCAGGUUUCCCCUCCAAUUGAAAACAUUGUCAUCGCUAAUCUGAACAGAUUCCUUGGGGAAAAGAUACCAGCCCAUCAGCUAGAAGAUCUGCAGUCGAUCAGGCAAUGAAAAGGAGUUCAGAGUCAAGGUGACCAGAAGCAAAGAUGUUGGAGUAAGCAUCUGGAAAAUCUGUAAUUGUUACACUGAGGUGUAGAGGAAAUGCUAAGUCACAGCCUGAAGCAGU